This 4880-nucleotide long non-coding RNA is filed under the name Coffea arabica (coffee). RNAcentral describes it as "long non-coding RNA (CARA_LNC002214)". Lineage: Eukaryota; Viridiplantae; Streptophyta; Magnoliopsida; Gentianales; Rubiaceae. The record is from RNAcentral.
CAAAACCAUUUGCUUAUGCUCCCAAGACUCCUUAUGAGGAAUGUGAGAAGCCCAAGCCAACUCCUGCUCCUUACCACUACAUAUCUCCUCCGCCACCAACUUAUGUCUAUAAAUCACCACCACCUCCACCACCAACUUACCUAUACAAGUCACCGCCACCACCAGUGAAACCUCCACCAAAGCCGUAUUAUUACGUCUCCCCACCACCACCAACUUAUGUCUAUAAAUCACCACCACCUCCACCACCAACUUACCUAUACAAGUCACCGCCACCACCGGUGAAACCUCCGCCAAAGCCGUAUCAUUACGUCUCCCCACCACCACCUACUGUAUCUCCACCGCAUUAUUACUACACAUCACCACCACCACCGGUGAAACCUCCGCCAAAGCCGUAUCAUUACAUCUCCCCACCACCACCGGAGAAAUCUCCACCACCACCCUAUCCUUACAUCUCCCCGCCACCGCCGGAGAAAUCUCCACCACCACCCUAUCCUUACAUCUCCCCACCACCGCCGGAGAAAUCUCCACCACCGCCCUAUCCUUACAUCUCCCCGCCACCGCCGGAGAAAUCUCCACCACCACCCUAUCCUUACAUCUCCCCGCCACCGCCGGAGAAAUCUCCACCACCACCCUAUCCUUACAUCUCCCCGCCACCGCCGGAGAAAUCUCCACCACCACCCUAUCCUUACAUCUCCCCACCACCGCCGGAGAAAUCUCCACCACCACCUUAUCCUUACAUCUCCCCGCCACCGCCGGAGAAAUCUCCACCACCACCCUAUCCUUACAUCUCCCCGCCACCGCCGGAGAAAUCUCCACCACCACCUUAUCCUUACAUCUCCCCACCACCGCCGGAGAAAUCUCCACCACCUCCAUACCACUACACCUCACCUCCCCCACCCGAAAAAUCACCUCCUCCACCAGUCUACACUUAUGCUUCUCCCCCACCCCCAACUCACUACUGAGCUCCAACAGCUCCGCCACUUUCCACCUUCAAGAAAGUAAGUUCAUUACUAUUCAACUGGUCAUUCAUUUUAUUCCUUGGCAAAAACAAAUCAUAAACUUAACAUCCAUAUACACAAGCCUCUUAACUCUUUCUUCAUCUUGCAGAUUUCCAUUUCAACCAAAGAAUAAAGGAAGGCUUCUUGAGAAGAAGAUACAGACGUCAAAUAUCCUUGAAGGACAUUACAUUCCUCAAUAAGGUCUUCAUCAUGAAAUGCAUAGGCACAAAACUUUCUGACAUGGACCAGUUUGCUUCUACUUCUCUGGUGGCCCUCUUACACAUAAUCAUCAUCCUAGCGCCUUCAAAGUGGACAAGUGGCUAGCCUCAAAUGUUUAUUUAUUUGGACAUAGUGAGAUUAGUCAGCGAGAAUGGAGGGGGUUUUAGAGUUGUUCAUUAUAAUUUAUUACCUGUAUAGAGGAUGCAUGGCCUUCUUGUGAGAUUGAUAUUUAUAUUUAUUACUCGGGUGUUUCUUUAAUUUUCUUGUGUAUUGUGCCCUCAACAAUUGUUAGCAAUAAAAGAAUUGAUAUUUAUAUUAAUUACUCAGGUCUCUUGAUUCUUUAUUUCUCUUGCGUAUUGUGCCCUCGACAAUUGUUAGUAAUAUCUUCAACCAACUUCCCCACAAAACAACCAAAAAAGAGAAAAACAUUAGUAAUAAACUUAUAAAAGAGACAUCUUCGGAAAACACAGCUUGCUUUCUUCCUGCUUCUGGCUCUGACCGACUUUGACAUGACUAUGGAAGUGUGUGCUCAUAGAUAUUUGUUCCAUCUAUUCUGUCUCUCUAGUACACAUUUUUUGUCGCAUAUUCUGAUCAAACUAAUAUAUAAUUUGUACUAAACAAUUUAUUUGAAUUUAUUCAAACAGUUUUUUCAAAAACAUUUUUCAAAAAAUGUCAAAAUAUGUGUAACUCCCAAAGUUCAUGCAAGUUGGCACUUGGCAAAAAGAGGGGGGAUGAAGAGCGAAGACUUUUAUGGGAAUCUUUAUGAGAUCAACAUAGACACAACAGGGCCUAGUUAUCGUUUUGACAGCGGAAAAACAAGUCUCCGCCUAUAUCAAAGGUUCUCAACUCAGCUGCAUCCCAUCUGCUCCUUUAUUCAAUUUUUUCAUUUUAUAUUUAUUGGGUAUACUCCAUUAUUUACUUUUUUAAAGAGAUGAUGGACUUCACAAAUCAACAUUUCCAAAAUUUGCUGUAACUUUAUUUGAUUUCCUCCUUUCUCCAGCCCCAUGAUCAAAGGGCAAUGUGCUGAAGACUUGGAAGUGAACAUGCUUAUACUAGCACCUAAAUCAAAGUGUUUUUCAAAAUUUUGUUCGGCAAUAAAUAUUUGCCUCUAUCUUUGUGUACUUCUUUUUUUUUUUAUAUAUAUAUACUUGCUUUACUAGUUUGGGAGCAUAUGCAAUGCACUUGGUUUGUUUAUCAAUAAAUAGAUAAAUUAUUUCUUUGGGUAUUAAUAAGAAGAGAAAUAUUUUUGGGCAAAUGACCUGAAUAGUCUUCCAAAAUUUUUACUAAACCAUUUUUGGUUCUCCAACUUUAAUUUUAUAGUCCCUUAACUUUAUUAUUAGGCCAAUGUGGUCUCUCCACUAUAAUUCGAAAUAAUGUCGUCCCUUAACUGAUGUUACUGAGCCAAUUUGAUCCUUCAACAUUUUACUGACCAAUUUAAGUAGGCAAAGUCGUCAAUUCAAAUUUUUUACCACUUUCCCAAGUCAUAAAAUCACGGAAAACAAAAAGAAAUAGCCCAACAAAUUACAAAAAGCACCAACCAGGUUAGGGAAAAAAUGCUUACAAAAAAGGAAAAAAACCCAAGAUGCAGUAUUUGUUUUAUUGCCUUUUUCUUAUCUUUAUAUGCCUUUUCAUUUCUUUGAUAAAUUACCGUAAUUAAGCUCAUGAUUCUAAUUAAGUUCUUGUCUUCAAAUAUGCAAGUGGACUUCUCAGUUGUAAGGAUUAUGGAGAUUUCUUAUCUUUAAGUAUAAAAUUGUUUUGACCAAGGAAAAUUUUAUGUGGUUUAGCCAUUUGUAUAUUAAUUUGAGCAAUAUAUAAUGCCUACAAACAAUCAAUCAUAUAAACCAUCACAUGUACUUACUUCCUGUCACAAUCAAACCUAUAAGUACACUGAUUUAAGCAACUUUUUACAAGUGAGACUUCACAUGGACUCUUGUUUGAUUGGAUUUAUUUAAGCUACUUUUUACAAGUGAGAUUCAGGUUGCAGUGCCUUCCAAAAAAAUUUUAGGACCUCACCCAACAUCUUUUAAUUCAUUUCUCAUUCUAUGAUCUUCUUGGCCUAUCUUACAAAUGCAGCCAUUACUGAGCCUAUUAAUUGUAAAUAGAGUUAAUUGGAGUUUACCCCCUAAACUUGACUCCUUUUAAUGCUUUGCCUUUUUAACUUCAAAUAUAUUUAUUUGGCUCCCUACAUCGACUAGUGAAACGUUAAUAAUGAACUUUCUAUCCAAAUUUUUAAUAAAAUAACAGUAAUGCCCAUACAUAGUGGUUGUUGGAUGAUGUUGUACGUAAAGUUGAAAUGUAGAGCACUUUAUUCGAAAAAAACAUUGAAUCCCAUGAUAUAAAAAAUAAAAAAGAAAUGGCGAAAUAUCAAAUAGUUAACAAGUACAAUUUUGUGUUGUAGAGUUAACAAAUUUUAGAGAAAUCCCCAAAACUUUUAUAGUAGUUUUCUGUUGCUUCUCUUUCUUCCUUUAAAUUAUGAAUGACUUGGCUUUGAUAAUCUUUGCUUACCUUACAUUCUCACAGUAUUCUUAUGAGUUAAUAAGAUAUGAAUUGGUGUUUUUAUACCACAUUCAUACCUUGUUUUAUAUUUUGUUUAGGUUCUACAUUAUUCAGUAAAAAAUUUGAGAUUGUUUAAAAGCGUUUUUCACUAUAUUUUUAUUUUUUCCAAUCACCAUUUCAUUCCACAAUAAUCACAUGAAGAAAAGCAUUCAAAUAAAAAAAAUCCUCAAAUAAUCUUCAUUCCAAAUGCAAUCAUUAAUUUUACUUCAUCUAAAUAAGCACUAUUAAUGUUGAGAUGAACGCUUUGAGUUGUUUAGACAUUUUUUGUAGAUAUUCUAGCUGUUUUUAUUGCUAAAAGAUCGAAUACAUGGUAUUGUUGUGCUCAAAUAAAAUUAGCAAUUGUUGAAACAAUAGUCAUUUAUUAGGCUACAAUUAUUGUAUCAAGAAUUAGCUCGGGGUAUUCUGGUCAUGCAAAAUAUAAUUUCAUCUUAACCCUGUGACAGCCCCACCUUCUCAUAAGGCGAACCAGGGGGUUCAGCGGACCACCUGCCCAACUCUCACCAAAACUCACUACAAUCCAUAGCAAGAAUUAUUUGAAAUUUUUAAACUAACCAAAAUAAUAUUCAUUGCACCCCAAAAUAACAUUUACAUACAUCCUAGAGCUAAUACAUAGGUUCACAUACAAAAGAUUCAUCUUUCGGCGUCUAUCUUAAUUACAACUCAAAAGUAUAUACACUAUGGUCAUUGCUACUAAAAUGAAAACUUAAAGUCUCCAAAAACAUUUCAAUAGUAUUCUUGAGCACUCUCGGAUCCAAAUCCUGUUAAGGAAAACAAAACGUGGGAUGAGCUUACGUCCAGUGAGCAUUCCAAGUAAACAGAAAAAAUAAGAGAAUAUCACAAUUUAACAUGUAAGCACAUUUUUCCAAGUAAUAUAGGUUCAAGUAAAUCGAUAGUCAACUUUAGAAACUGGUAGUGUAGCAAUUAAUUGUAAUAGGAAUCUUUCAAUGUAAAAUACUUGAUAAACAAUAACAUUCAUGUAUGUAUUCAAUCAUUCGUUCAAGUAAAUAAAAGGAUGAAUAGUAAUUUAAACAUUAAAUGGAUACGGGGCUCACAGGAAGUAACAUUCGCCUUAUAACUGCCAAUAAACAAUCCCCUACAUUUUACCAC